Molecule: unclassified non-coding RNA, 269 nt
Filed under: Aster yellows phytoplasma
Lineage: Bacteria; Bacillati; Mycoplasmatota; Mollicutes; Acholeplasmatales; Acholeplasmataceae
Description: partial miscellaneous RNA
Rfam family: tRNA (bases 114-187)
Source: RNAcentral
CCUCCUUUCUAAGGAAACAAUUAUCAUCUUCAGUUUUGAGAGACUUAAGAAAGUUUUUCAUUGUCACUUGCUUGCAAAUUGUAUUUGCAACAUUUUAAUCUUUUUAAGAUUAAGGGCCUAUAGCUCAGUUGGUUAGAGCACACGCCUGAUAAGCGUGAGGUCGGUGGUUCAAGUCCAUUUAGGCCCACCAUAACCACAAAUAGGCAAAAUCUUAAAAAAGCUCUUUGAAAAGUAGAUAAACGAAGGUUAAAAAAUCAAAGGAACUAAGG